CUACUCGGGGAGCGACCGUUCUGCUCUUCUGCUAGCAGACAGCAAAUAUUUCAAAACACAGCUGAUAUAGUCCUGGGAUGUGUUUUACACUGACUAAACACAGCUGAUGUCUUAAUACAUUAAAAAAGCUGAUAUUUCUUAAAAGUGUUUUUAAAUUAAUCUGAGUAGUGUUUGUAGUGUUUUUGGAGUUAUAGCUUAUAGCUUAUAACCCUAAAAAGAAAAAAAAAGUGAAGUGUUAGUAUAAAAGCAGAGCAGUGAAGUUAUUUAAAAAAGUGUGAAGUGUAGUGAUUUCAAAAAUAUGUGUGAUAAUCGAGAUGCCAAGGGAAGGUUUGCGAGUACCCAUCCUGACAAGAAGUACUCUCGAGGAAGAGGCAAGAAGAGGCCAAGAAAAUUUCUAGGAGCAACAUGCGAGGAUGAACCUGCCAACAGGACAAGACCUUCAAGUUCAGCAAGAAAGAUACAAACUCCAGCAGCGGAAGGAACCUCUGUGGUCAGGAAUAGAUUGAUUGAUAUCAACAUUCUAUUUCCUGCUCUCGAGGAACUUUUGAUUUGCAAACAAUGCCAUGGUCAAGUUAAACUUGGCGAAUCUGAAGCUCAAGGAUUAAGAUUCAAGAUUGAAGUAGUGUGCAUUGAGUGUGGCCAGCUGGCAGCUAUCAAGUCACGCAGAAAAGUUGGCGUCUAGAACCAUGCUUUGGAGAACAACAGAAGAGCAGUGGUUACUUUUCGUACUCUUGGACUUAGACACGCUGGUCUAUCAAUAUUUUGUGGGUUGAUGGACUGCUUGAAACCCAUGGCUCAGUCUGCAUAUGAUACAAUCAACGAAUAAUUUAGUAAAGUACGUGAGAAAGUUGCCAAGGACUCUAUGAAGACUGCAGUGAUAGAAGUAAAAACCGCUACAUAGACUGGAGCACCCGGAUCAAACAUUUGGAGGUUAGACUGGUGAUUUUCUGCAGUUUUAACUUGAUUCUACACAGUGACCAAAAUAAAACAUAAGUAAGAAAAGCCGUACAGAACCCAGAGGUAUAAGUGAAUAUACCUCAUAAUUGCUGAGAGUCAAGGUCUAUGUGUGUAGAACAUAGAAAACUUGGUCCCAAAUGAUUUGGUAAGCACUAAUUUAAGUUACACUUUCAACAAUUUUCAUAAAUUUUAAAGCUGAUUUUCUCUAAAUGUUGUUUUUACUGAUUUCAAAAACUCCUUGAGUUUGAGCCCAAAAGAACCAUUGGUUCACUUGGAAUCCUACGGACAGUGAAAAAGUUCACAAAUUCUUGCACCGAGUGCCACAAUGGGCCAGCAGGAAUAAUGAAGGUUUUAGCAUGAUAAAAUCAAAGCGUUUAAAGGUGUUGUGUCCCCUUAAACGUUUAGCUGAAAUCGUCCAAAUAUAUAUGCAUCUGAAUUCUAAAGACAUUUCUGAUAAUGAUAACUUCAGGAAGGUAAAAAUUUACGGAAUUCAAAAAAGUUGUCGAUUUAUUAUAAGUGGAAAAACUCGAUACAAGGGAAUUAAUUAAAACAAAACUUUUUGAGUUUGCGGAGCUUUAUUUUUGGAAAAUAUAAAAAUGGCUUUAGUUUGGUUUGCAAUUGACUUAUUUUUUAAUGUUCGUAUUCUUGUAUAUUAUAGUUGUAUCCAUAUUUUUAAAUAAACAUUUUAGUUCGCACUAA
This is an RNA transcript of Nasonia vitripennis (jewel wasp), 1656 nucleotides long. RefSeq lists it as uncharacterized. Lineage: Eukaryota; Metazoa; Arthropoda; Insecta; Hymenoptera; Pteromalidae. The transcript is spliced from 3 exons. The record is from RefSeq and is a predicted model, not a curated record.